RNAcentral lists this transfer RNA (77 nucleotides) under bacterium. Its description in RNAcentral is "tRNA-Cys". It matches the Rfam family "tRNA". Rfam says of the family: Transfer RNA (tRNA) molecules are approximately 80 nucleotides in length. Their secondary structure includes four short double-helical elements and three loops (D, anti-codon, and T loops). The record is from RNAcentral. RNAcentral also lists the same sequence under 1 other name.
GGGGACGUAGCCAAGCGGAUUAAGGCGGCAGAUUGCAAAUCUGCUAUUCCUCGGUUCGAAUCCGGGCGUCCCCUCCA